AACAUUUUCUUGUGAUUGCUUAAGGUUCAACCCUGGCCUCCACUUUGGGUUAAUUGCAUUUACAACAGUUUCUCUCAUAACUGUCUUUCUUCUCUCCUUUCUUCUUCUUUCCUCUUCUUCUUCGAUCAUUUCUUCUCUGAUUGCCAUUCUGCUCGACUGAAGCAGUUCUCGCCGACUGCCUCUAUCACCACGAUCAACACCAACAGCUCCAGGGAAAAAUCUUAACAUGGUAUCUGAGCUACUGCUUAAAAGGAUAAAGGAAAAAUGAUCUAGGGUUUUCAACAAUCUCUGGUAAAGAUCUUGAUUUUUGCUUUCGUUUAUUGAUUGAUUUCCAAUUUUCCCUAUUUGAUCUAUUGAAGCAUGAAGGAUUAAUACUAAUCCUAAUUAAAUAAAGUUAGAUUAUGUUAGAUUAUUUAGGUGAAGUUAAGUUGGCCCAUACUCAAGGCCCAUUAGGAGUUAGUAUAUAAACAAAUGUUGUAAUAUUUUAUAUUUACUUUUUUCAAAACUAAAUCUAAAACUAAAACCCUAGGGUUUCCUAAACGACUCGCCUCCUCUCCUCCAACGACUCCUCAUCGUCGCCCCUGAUCCCCAGCGUCGCUCCGACUCUCGCUUCACCCAACUCGCUCAACUUCUUCAUGGUAUCAGAGCGCUCGUGAAGCACUGCGUCGAUCGCUUCUCUGGGACUUCCAAAUCCAAAACUUCAUCUCUCUGCCAUCGACCAACCAAGGCAUCUUCAAACCGCGUUUGGUAAAUCUAAAACCCUAGAUCGAUACAUGAUACUCCAUUCUAAGAAAAUCAAAAGUUCAUUCUAUGUUUUUUCAUCUUACAUACUGUGCAUGUCAUCCAAUACAUGUUUAUCUUAUAUACCCAUGUUAUAUGAUUCUUCUUCAAAGCAAAAUGACUCAUCUCUAGUUCAUGGUUUACUGAAUAUUCAUUUUCACAUCAUACCAUAUCACAUACACAUGCUGCUCAUGUACUUAUGCUGUGCCAACGGCAUCUUAAACAUACACUAUGCUAUACAUCCUGCAUGCAUGACUCUCAUUCCCUACAUGCGUUUCAGUCUAUGGAUGUUUAUGUUUACAUGUGUCUUUGCUUACAUACUGUUCUAUGUUUAUGGUGCGAACCUUUGUAUCUUGGCUCAGCCACACAAUGCACUCCCUAUCUAUGGAGCAAUAAAUGAAUCUCGGAAAUACUCUUUUACGCAUACAUUUCAUAUUAUACAUCAUAUACUAAACAUGCAUGCUAGGACUAAGUGCAGGAUAGCAAUAUCAAAUAUCCUCUGGUGCAUGGUUAUCUGUAAAUGUUAUACACACUGUUUAUGCUAUAUCUAUGUGAUUAAUCAUGAAUAUACCAUAUUUUUACAUGACCUGUUAACAAUAAUAAUAUGUUCAAAUCUUGGUGUGACCCAUGUGCACAUAUGUGCACCUGGAUCACACACCAACUAUCUCUCGAAUCUGACCAAUCAGAUUUUAGAUAUAAGACUUCAGAGUCAAUCAUCAGGGUUCUCUGAUGCUCCAAAUCUUGAGACACUUAGUGUCCUCGAGAGGAUCCCAAACUCACCCCAAAAGGUGGGAGCCCCAACUCAAACGCUUCCGCACAAAUCAAAUGCUCUGCUCACUGAUGAAAAAUUGGCUAUUUUCCUAACUCUCAAAAAAUCAAAGAUGACUCACAUGCAAAAACUAAUCACCAAUGUUCAAAACAAAUUCGAAUUAAUCUUGCAAUUCAAUUCAAAUCUGAUCCUCAUUUGUUAUCAGUGCGAAAUCCAUUCAUAUAUCUUAUUGACAUAUCUUUACAAUUUCAACAGAUCCAAAAAAAUGGUUGGUGCUGUUGAAAAGGGACCAAGAGGAGGUCCACUCUUUGACCCCACAUCUCCCUAUUACAUUAAAUCUUCUGAUUCAGGCCCUUUGUCAGUGAUCAAUGUCCUGCAAGGGAGUCAAAACUACUAUCAAUGGAGUAGGGAGAUGACAACCAUACUGUUGACAAGGAGGAAACUGGGAUUUGUCCUGGGUACUAUGAAGAGGCCUGCUGACUCAGAGGCAGAAGAACUUGAAGCCUGGAUCACCUGUCAUGGGGUGGUUAGGCAAUGGAUCUGGAGCUCAGUCUCCAAAGACAUAGAAGCCCAAAUCAUGUAUACCGAUGAUGCAUCUAUAGUCUGGAAUGAUCUCAAGGAUCAAUUCAGACAAUCUAAUGAAACACAUAUAUAUCAGCUAUCCCAAGAUGCUGCCCUAAUGCAACAAGGGAGUGACAGUGUCUCAAAAUUUUGCACGAACCUCAAGUCCAUCUGGAGGGAAGUUGAUGCCUAUGGGGAGACACCCCAAUGCAGCUGUGGAAAAUGUGAGUGCAACAUGAGUGGCAGGGUGAAUGACAAAGAGGACAGGCUCAAAAUCAGGAAGUUCCUCAUGGGUCUGAGGGAUGACUUUAGGCAGGUCAGAUCUCACAUCUUAUCACUAGAGAAACUGCCUCACUUUGGUAGAGUCUACUCCAUGGUGGUACAUGAAGAAUCACAGUUGCAACUCUCUGAACAUAACAAUAAUCACCAAGCAUCUGCAUUUUACUCAGCCAGAAAUCAAAGUCAAAACAGACAGUUUAUCAACAACAAUGCUUCAUCCUCACACACACCUAAACAUGCUCCUGUACCUCAAAACCCAAGGAAGAGGCCACCUACUCCAACAGAACCUCUGUAUUACAAAAGUGGCAAACAAGUGAAUACAAGAUACUAUUGCUUCCACUGUGCGGCCUUUGGGCACAGUGAUGAAAAAUGCUUUGUUCAGCAUGGAUACCCAUCAUCAUCCAGGGGGACAACAUUCACAAAGAAACCAAACCCCACUGUGACUCCAACUGCUGAAACAAAACCACAGGGCUCAGCCAACUGUGUAUGCACUGAAGAAAACUGGUCUGCUUGGUCUGAGAGGGAUAAGGGCAAGAAAAGGGUAAACACACCUGAAGAACCAAUUGGCCCCCAUGGGUUCCCUCUCUACUCAGAAAAGUACAAUCCCAAACCUCUUCCCAAAUACACAGGUCCAGGUUCAGGUACUAUCAAUUCUAUUAUGAACUACAAUAAUCAAAAUGAUUUUUGGAUCAUUGACUCAGGUGCAUCUGAGCAUCUGAGUGGGGACAGUUCCCUCUUCCAAAACAUACAAAAAUGCAAAACAUUUCCAAUAUCAUUACCUAAUGGUGAUAAACAGAUGGUAUCUCAGAAAGGGGAUAUCAUCCUAUCACCAUACAUUACACUAAAUGAUGUGUAUUUUAUAUCAUCAUUCCAGGUCAACUUGCUAUCAGUCAGCAAGCUGACCCAAAGUGAUAAAUUUUCAGUUCAAUUUUCUAAAUCUUCUGCCCUUAUCUAUGACAAGGUUCUGAUGAGGGAAGUUGGACAGAGUAGCCUGAAGAAUGGAUUAUACAUCUUAUCACACACUGGUGGUAAGAAUCAUUUUGCUGGUGCCAUUUCAACAAAGACUUGGCAUAAUAGACUUGGCCACACCUCAUGUGGCAGACUUAAAUUUAUUUUAAACAAUAUUUCUCCUAACUAUUAUAGUACUGAUUUUCCAAAACACUGUGAUAUUUGUCAUUUUGCUAAACAAUCUAGAACAGUCUUUCCAACACAAGCAUCUAGAUCUAAGAUUGCAUUUGAUCUCCUUCACAUAGAUGUGUGGGGGAACUUUCACACUCCAACCAUCCAUGGAAAGAGAUACUUCAUGACUGUUGUGGAUGACUACUCUAGAUAUGUAUGGACUUUUUUAAUUUCCACAAAGUCUGAAUGCUUUUCUAUGUUUAAAGGACUAUAUUUUUUAAUUGCUAAUCAAUUCAAUACCUCAGUUAAGGCUAUUAGAACAGACAAUGGUGGGGAGUUCUUCUCCCUAACCAUGGAUGAAUUCCUGAAAGACAAAGGAAUCAUCCACUACUCUAGCUGCCCACACACACCACAACAGAAUGGUGUGGUUGAGAGAAAACACCAACACCUGUUAAAUGUUGCUAGGGCAUUGAAGAUACAGUCAUCACUGCCCAUUGAGCUGUGGGGAUAUUCCAUACUACAUUCCACAUUCAUCAUAAACAGACUACCUUCCAGGGUAACUCAAAACUUAUCACCUUUUGAGCUAAUACACUCAAAAGAGCCAAAAUUCAAAGAUCUUAGGACAUUUGGAUGUCUAUGUUAUGUGACAUGCCUCACAAAAGAGGACAAAUUUUCUCACAGAGCUAGAAAAUGUAUUUAUUUGGGUCAAUCCCCAACCCAAAGAGGCCACAUAACAUAUGACUUGGACAGUCAUGACAUCUCUGUCAGCAGAGAUGUGAUCUUCUAUGAAGAUAUUUUCCCACUUAAGGAAGGAAAAAAAUUAAAGCAGCCAAAUACCAAAAAUAUACAAAUGAAGAGGAGGAUGACAAACCUCAAACUAAUGAGGGAGACAGUUCUGUAACUUCCACUGACACAGUGGAGGAUCAAGAGCAAAUCCACAACCUAUCAGAAGGGGAAGAGAACCCCCUUCCAGACCAAAAUGCAGUCCCUGGGAGAUAUCCUAAGAGGCAAACCAAACCACCAAUAAGGUUAAAUGAUUACUACUGCUCGUUUGCAACAAGUGAAGGGAAAUCCAAAGGAACAGCAUUUCCAAUGCAUGACUACUUGACCUAUAAAAGACUAUCUACCUCUCAGAUUGAUUACCUAGAUAAGAUAUCUACAACAACUGAACUCUCUUCCUUCCAUCAAGCAAGCCAGAGCCCUGAGUGGGUAAAGGCUAUGAAUGAGGAACUCUCUGCCCUAGAGUUAAAUGACACUUGGGAGAUGGUACCCAAACCCAAGGGCAGGAAGGUAGUGGGAUCCAGGUGGGUCUACAAGGUCAAACAUAAAUCUAAUGGAGACAUUGAAAGGCUCAAAGCCAGACUAGUGGCCAAAGGUCACACCCAAGUAGAAGGUUUUGACUACAAAGAAACCUUCUCCCCAGUGGCAAAGAUUAUAUCAGUAAGGACCUUACUUGCAGUAGCCUCCAUUAAAAAUUGGGCAACAUACCAAAUGGAUGUUAGCAAUGCAUUCCUGCAUGGUGACCUGUCAGAAGAAAUUUACAUGUCACCACCCCCUGGUAUGUUACCUGAAAAUGACUCUAGGGUUUGCAAACUUAAAAAAUCUUUAUAUGGUCUAAAGCAGGCCAACAGGAACUGGUAUGAAAAACUCACCAAAUCUCUGUCAAAUUUUGGGUACACCCAAUCACAUUCUGAUUACACACUAUUCUUCAAAUCAAAAAAUAACACUUACACAUGCUUGCUAAUAUAUGUGGAUGAUCUAAUCAUAUCUGAUAAUAGUGAAGAAGAAAUCCAAAAUCUGAAGAAUCAUCUACACAAUCAAUUUCACAUAAAAGAUUUGGGGAAACUUAAAUACUUCUUGGGAAUUGAAGUAUCUCACUCAGACAAAGGGAUUUACUUGUCCCAAAGGAAGUAUGCUUUAGAUAUUCUUCAUGAUUUUAAUCAACUGGGGUCUUCCCCAUCAAAAAUACCAAUGUCCCACAAUUACAAAAAUUCAGAAUGUGAUUCUCCAAUGAGGGAGCCCUCAAUCUACAGGAAACUAAUUGGCAAAUUGCUAUAUCUCACAAUAACGAGACCAGACAUUGCAUUCUCUGUUAGCCAUUUCAGCCAAUUCCUUGCAAAUCCACUGCAAUCCCAUUUCAAUUCAGCAAUGAAAAUUCUAAAAUACAUCAAAGGUGCUCCUGGGAAAGGAAUAUUAUACAGAAGAGAUGCACCAUUAAAACUUGAAGCCUAUUGUGAUGUAGAUUGGGCUGACUGUCCCAACACUAGAAAAUCCAUAACAGGUUACUCAAUUCUUUUGGGUGGUUCAGCCAUUGCUUGGAAGUCAAAAAAGCAAUCCACGAUAAGCAGGUCAUCUGAUGAGAGUGAAUACAGAGCUAUGGCCUCAACAGUUUGUGAGAUCAUGUGGUUGCAUUAUUUUUUAAAUGAUUUGCAGGUUAAACCCACAGAGGAAACAACAUUACAUUGUGAUAACAUGGCUGCCAUCCACAUUGCAUCCAAUCCAGUCUUCCAUGAACGAACUAAACACAUUGAGAUUGAUUGUCAUCUAGUUCGUGAUCACUUACAAGCAAGACUAUUUAAAUUACAUCAUGUUGCAUCAAUUGAUCAAAUUGCAGAUAUUCUUACAAAGCCAGCAAGCUUGGAAUCACUCAGGAAUCUACUACCCAAGCUGGGACUCUAUGAUAUACACUCUCCAGCUUGAGGGGGUAUUGAAGCAUGAAGGAUUAAUACUAAUCCUAAUUAAAUAAAGUUAGAUUAUGUUAGAUUAUUUAGGUGAAGUUAAGUUGGCUCAUACUCAAGGCCCAUUAGGAGUUAGUAUAUAAACAAAUGUUGUAAUAUUUUAUAUUUACUUUUUUUCAAAACUAAAUCUAAAACUAAAACCCUAGGGUUUUCUAAAUGACUCGCCUCCUCUCCUCCAACGACUCCUCACCGUCGCCCCUGAUCCCCAGUGUCGCUCCGACUCUCGCUUCACCCAACUCGCUCAACUUCUUCAUGAUCGAUUUCCGAUUGGUGUCAUUUUCUUGAUACUGAUUUUACCGAUAUCAAUUUAGGGUUGUCGAUUUUUUUCCCAUUUCUUUCUUUCCGCGAUUUCGAUUUUGUGAAAGAUUUCGUAGAGAGUUCGUCUUUGAUUUCGAUUUGAUUACGUCUCUGGAUUUCGUUUUCUGUUCAGAUUUUGAUUACAUAUUCAAUUUCUGUUCUGUUAUGUUCAGAUUUUGUUUUCAGAUUACGUUUUGACUCUCGGUUCUGUUUCAAUUUGGAUUACGUGUUCAAUUUCAGUUCUGUUUCAAUUUAUUUGAUUGAGUAGAUUUUAAUCUCGCGGAUUGAUUCCGACUUUGUUUCAAUUUUGAUUUGUUCAUCACGGUUUGUUUUGAUUUGAUUAAUUAACUGGAAAUUACGGGAUUGCAAGUGGGUUGUAAUUCACUGCGCUACUUCAUCGUGUUUUUUGGAUUUAAUUGAUUUGGUUCAGUCAUUACGAUUUUCAUAUUCUAAUUUCAGUGAUUGUGAUUUUCUAAUUUUUAUUUUCAGUGAUUUCUGAAUUUACUUGAUUGACUUAUUUUAUUUUCAUCUCCUUACACUGAAUUUUUAUUUUCAGUGAUUUUACUAUAUCUUUAAUAUCGUAUCCUUGUUCUCUAAUACGUUUUUUUUAUAAAAAAAAUUUGGGGAUUUUUCUGGGUUUUUUUUUGGAUAAAUUCUGUAAUGGCAACCAAUCACAUGGUUGUAUCAAGAGAUAAUUAUUUAAAACAAAAUACGAUCUAUGAUUUGCUGGACGAACUGGUACGUUUUUAAUUUUUUUUUUUCUUUAUUUUUGUUUUUUCUAUUUUUUUUUAG
Molecule: long non-coding RNA, 7335 nt
Filed under: Zostera marina
Lineage: Eukaryota; Viridiplantae; Streptophyta; Magnoliopsida; Alismatales; Zosteraceae
Description: long non-coding RNA (ZMAR_LNC003701)
Source: RNAcentral